UUACCUAUGAUGAUGUAAUAAGAAAGAUACGUUAUGUUAGUACUCGGUUGAGUAAAGUAUCGGGUACCCAUCGCGGCCCAUCGAUUUGGGUCGUGACAAUCAUUAGGACCAUCAUACUUGCCGACCAUCGAUGAACUGAUCGGAUUAACCAACCAAAGUUGGCUUCAGUCAUUAUGUAUUGAACAGAAGCAAAAGCUUCAGUAACGGUCGGACGAUAGUAAAAAGUCUUAGCAAACCCAGUAGCUACUUGUACUAAAAAAUAAGUAAGCGUAAUACCCCCUAAACAAUAAAAUAUAUUGACGUGGGGAGGAAAGUAUUUACUAGUUAUAUCAUCCACAAUUGCUUGAAUCUCGAGACGUUCUUCGAACCAAUCAUAUACUUUAUUGAGAUAGGCGUAACUCCCCCCUCUGAGAACCGUAUAUGAGACUUUCAUCUCGUACAGCUCAAGCAAAAAUACCAAAAUACUAGUUGCAACGGAUAUGGAAUAGAAAGUUUUAAAUUUAUUAAGUUCUGAUCCCAUCUUCUCUGGAAAAUCCGAAAGCUCUUUUUUGUGGCGAUAAUACCAAAAUAUCAAGUUGGCGCAUUCGUCUUUAUCUUUAUUUUGAUACUUAUGGGCCUCUUGAAUUUUCUUUUUCCCUAUUUCUUUCUAGAAUUUAUUUUUGUGGAAUAUGGCUUUUAUUAUUUAUUUUCUUUAUUAUUGAUAGGAAUUCUCUUGUUAAGACUCUAUAAAUCGAUUAAAACCUCAGAUUCAUACUAGAACCGUGAUGAUUCAAUAAAAAAACCUAACCUAAAUCAAAUCAAGGAUUCCCUGAGUAAGAAUCCUCGGAUCAUCACUUAUUCCCCUGAAUAAAUAGAAUGACUAAAAAUUCAAAGAAAGGUUUUGCUUUUGGUUAAAAUAUAAAUAGGGGUUGAAAGAAAAGAAUCUUUUGAUUUAGAAAUUAGAAUUCUUUGUUUGAAAUUUUUUUGGAGCCCAGACACGAGGUCUGAAUAUUAAGUAUGAAUCAUAGUUCAAAUAUUUCUUAAUCUAUUUCGUGUUCUAAAUAUUAGAAUAAAUAUCUGACGAAGUAGAACCAUCUCUAUCAAGAUGACAGACCCAUUCUCUGUACUAUCAAUAGGAUCAAUUAUAACAAGUCACACACUCAUACUCCGGAAAUACAGAAACAAAGAAAUUCCACCAUCGAACUAGCAAAAGAAAAUAGAAUGGACUAGAAAUCGGAGCUCUAAAUGAUUCAUUUUGGACUCAAAAGCAAGAACUUUGUGGUUCUUAUAGAUCUAAUUCAUUGAAAUUCUAUCCAAUAAAACGGAAGAAUUAUAAAUCUCCAAAAUAAUAGAUAGAAAUACCGCAAAUAAGGCCAUUGCGACACCCAUCAAAGGANNNNN
RNAcentral lists this long non-coding RNA (1380 nucleotides) under Nicotiana tabacum (common tobacco). RNAcentral's name for it is "long non-coding RNA (NTAB_LNC002497)". Lineage: Eukaryota; Viridiplantae; Streptophyta; Magnoliopsida; Solanales; Solanaceae. The record is from RNAcentral.